Bubalus bubalis (water buffalo) is the source of this 738-nucleotide long non-coding RNA. RefSeq lists it as uncharacterized. The transcript is spliced from 4 exons. The record is from RefSeq and is a predicted model, not a curated record. NCBI's taxonomy places the organism in Eukaryota, Metazoa, Chordata, Mammalia, Artiodactyla, Bovidae.
GAGAAUCCCUUGUAGAGAGGAGCCUGUGGGCUGCAGUCCAUGGGGUCACAAAGAGUCGGACACAACUGAAGUGACUUAGCACAGUACAGCACACAUGUACUUCGGGGCAGUGCUUCUCCAGUGUUAACGUGCCUGUGGGUCACCUGGGGACCUCAUUAAAAUGCAGAUUUUGAUUUGGGAAGGCUGAGAGGGAGCUUAAGAGUCUGCAUGGCUAGCUGGCUCCAGGUGAAGCCAACUUCUACAGACCGCAGUGUGAAUAGCCGGAUGUCGAGAGCAGGACACGACUAAGCAGAGCCCAGCCCAGCCCAGCGAGCAGGAUGGCUCCUCUCUGUGAGUACGGCUGGGGAGCCCCGGGUAGAAGAAACUAUAAAACAUAAGGCAGUUUGCAGUGAAAGUUUAGCAGUCUCAGCGCAGCUGGACUGGGAAGUAUCAUCUGAGUUCAGCUUCAUGAGAUUUACAGCCCAGGCUCAUGUGGACUGGGAAACUACUACAGAGAGGACAUCAGGGAAACAGUCUGCUUCCACCUUGCAGCUGCGACAUCCAAAUAUGUGACUUCUGAAGUUCUGGUGAAAGAAAAAAGAGCCAGAUAGACCCCAGGCUAUUUAACAUGGUGAUCACCAUCUGUUCAUAUGUCCUUUCUUUGGUUUGCGAGUGGAGAGAGAAGCAUCCUGGUUUUUCUUCCUCAUCUUUGACAGGCUGGAUUCUAUAACUUGCUUCCAAAAACUAGAGUGUGGAAAA